UGUAUUAUUUGCAUUUCAGGAUGUUAGUGAAAUUUCAAAAUGAAACAUUACAGAUUCUAAUUUAUUUUAAGUUACAAGCUAAUAUCUGAUGUAGACUAUGAGAUUUAUUACCUGUUAUUAGAAAAUCAUUAGAUGAUUUGGAGGACCUGAUCAAGCUCCCAGAAAUGGGUCUCAGAGACACAUUGCAGCAUCAAUUUACUGAAGGAGCCACCUCUGCCUCAGUCUGGAAGCCAGGGAAUGAGAAAGUUGCCAUCGCAAUUACAAGCUCCAGGCUCACAGGGCCUCUGUCAUGAUUCAUGCUAUUUGAAUAGAUACCUUUUAACCCCCAUGGAACAAGAAUUGGACCCUGGAUCUUCUACUACAAAUGCCCUGGAGUUUCCAGGUGCUCCUAUGACCUCAUUGGUAGCAGAAGCAGCAGAAUCAACAUAAUUAUGGCAUCUACCACCUAAUUCCAAUUUUCAUUUUCCAAAUUUCAUUUAAACACACUGCUAGAUGGAAUAUAUGUCAUCUGAAAAAUUCCAUUUCUUUGAAAGUCUGGGAAAUGUAAUUUUUGCUUUCCAGCUUUUAGCAGGCAGUAAGACAGGAUACAAAGUGGUUGGAAUGCAGCUGAAAGAGCCAGUCUGAAGCAUCUGCCACAGUCUAUCCCUUUGGUAAUGCAGAAACCCUAUAUAGCCUUCUGCCAGUAAAUCUUCCAAAUAAACAUCAUGAGAAAACCCGACAUACUCUUCUAAUGGACCUUAUACAAAAAAAAUCUGAUUAUUCCAAAAGGGCAAAGCAAAUCCCACUGCAUCCAUCUCUGAAUGAUGUUCAUUCCUUUCCUUGUGUAAUCACAUGGUUGAUACCAUGUUGGUUAUGUAGCAAAUGAUAAACUAUAUUACCAUUCUAUGUUAAUAUCCAUAUUUAUUCUGUAUAAAUAUAGGUGGCAGGGGAGUGUAUUUUGCAUACUAUUUGUGAUCACAAAUCUCAUUUCUUCAACUGGUUGUGAAGUAUCCAACACUAGUCAAUAUUAAAAGAUGUUGCUCUAUAU
Heterocephalus glaber (naked mole-rat) is the source of this 1027-nucleotide long non-coding RNA. NCBI's taxonomy places the organism in Eukaryota, Metazoa, Chordata, Mammalia, Rodentia, Bathyergidae. The record is from Ensembl.